AGAGUUAAACAGUACGUGAAAUUGUUGAAAGGGAAACGAUUAAAGUCAGUCGUACAGACGAGGAAUCAGCCUUUUGUGUGUAAAAUCGUGGGAUGCAAGAGUCUUUGCGCUUGCGAUAUUUGUGCAUUUUUGGUGUACUUUCUCGUAUUGUAGGUUAGCAUCGGUUUUGAUAGUCAUAAAAUGACUGGGGGAAUGUAGCUUCGAUCUCGGUUGAAGUGUUAUAGCCUUUGGUAGAUGUGAUGGUUGGGACCGAGGAUUGCAACGAAUACCCUUACGGGCUAUCCGGCUGGCCUCUGACUUUCACUUUGAUUUCGAAAGCUUGCUUUCGAUUUUAAAGUUGGGGGUUAAAAGGUUAGAACGGAUUAAAUUCGUUAAGGAUGCUGACGUAAUGGCUUUAAACGA
This 402-nucleotide unclassified non-coding RNA is filed under the name uncultured Glomeromycotina. RNAcentral's name for it is "sequence contains 28S rRNA gene". The record is from RNAcentral. Lineage: Eukaryota; Fungi; Glomeromycota.